UCGCCUGAGGAGGGGCCCGCGUCCGAUUAGGUAGUUGGUGGGGUAAAGGCCUACCAAGCCGACGAUCGGUAGCUGGUCUGAGAGGAUGAUCAGCCACACUGGGACUGAGAUACGGCCCAG
This 120-nucleotide ribosomal RNA is filed under the name uncultured bacterium. RNAcentral's name for it is "partial 16S ribosomal RNA". It matches the Rfam family "Bacterial small subunit ribosomal RNA", at positions 215 to 334 of the family's 1533-position model. The record is from RNAcentral.